GGCCCGUUCGUCUAGUGGUUAGGACCUCAGGUUUUCAUCCUGGUAACAGGAGUUCGAUUCUCCUACGGGCUA
Molecule: transfer RNA, 72 nt
Filed under: Cryomorpha ignava
Lineage: Bacteria; Pseudomonadati; Bacteroidota; Flavobacteriia; Flavobacteriales; Cryomorphaceae
Also listed under: 3 other names
Rfam family: tRNA
About the family: Transfer RNA (tRNA) molecules are approximately 80 nucleotides in length. Their secondary structure includes four short double-helical elements and three loops (D, anti-codon, and T loops).
Source: Rfam by way of RNAcentral